GUGUUUUUACUCAACAAUAAAGAAAGAGUAGAAGAAUGGAGUCAAUCUAAACCCAUGAAGAGGAAAAUAUGGCUUCUCUAUUAUUAUUAUAUUUAUUGUUUUCUUUUUUGGUUUGGAUCUGUUGAAUAGAAGGUGGAUGACCAUUUUGCACGAUGUUUGGUGUCAGGUGUGGAUAUAUCGAAUUUACGUGGAUGAUCGUUUUUGCAAACGAAACAAUGACACAAUUAUUUUAAGAAUUAACUUGUGAUUUUUUUUGCCUCGUUAAUAAGAAGAGGGGAUAAUAU
Molecule: long non-coding RNA, 284 nt
Filed under: Actinidia chinensis (golden kiwifruit)
Lineage: Eukaryota; Viridiplantae; Streptophyta; Magnoliopsida; Ericales; Actinidiaceae
Description: long non-coding RNA (ACHI_LNC008656)
Source: RNAcentral